CGCCCACUUCCGGCUCGCGCUCCGCCCUCCUAACUGCGAGCAUCCCAGCGCUGCCAAUCCGCUACGAGAAGCCAAUCCCCGGCCUCUCUCUCAUGGGGGCGGGACUUUCUCGCCUCUAGAGAACUGCCGGUCAUCCCCGCCCUCUGCCCCGCCCCCUCUAUGGUCUUUCCUUCGGCCACACCCUUGGCACCACUUCAGGUUCCCACUCCGAAGGUUCUACAGGUGCAUGUUCAGGCUGUUAUUCCAACGUCCCGGAGUGGGCUACUUCAAAGCUAGAUGUCCUUGUGGAAGUCUCUCCCUCACCUCAGUCUUCUCAACUGUGAAAUGGAGUCAAGAACAACUUCAUGAGGCUUCUACAUAAAAAAAGGAGUGGUAUUGAAACUUCUGUGAAUUAAAAAAAAAUUGAGGCUAUGUGGCCUGGCCAGGAUGAGCGACAAGAAUACUAGAGUCACAAUGAGAAAAUAUGAGUCUCGGAGUCCAAAGGAGUCUGUGAAGUGAAGAUGACAGGGCCUCCCUCCUUCCAGGUCCGAGAGUCUUCUUGGCAGUAUAAGUUUAGCCCAUUGCAAUCUUACUCCUCCUGGACCACUGUGAGCAUAUCAGCACCUUCCUCGAAUGCAGAAAAUGAGAUGUUCCAUGGAUACAGGCAGAUCCCAAAUGGGAGAAUGAGAGAUUGAAUCAAGUAUGCAAAGCUUGCCUCCUAAACUCCUUUACAAGGUCUUCUGAUAUUAGACUCUUCACCUGUGAAAUGAGGUGAAGAAGAAUGUUAAACACCUUCCCGAAUCUCUUCUACUACAGACCACCAGACCUCAGGCACUUCUACCCUUGUGGAAUCUUCAUUUUGUGAAAUGUUUUCUUGUGAAAAAUACAGCUGCACACCCUCUGUGUAUUCCUGCAUCAGAUAUUGUAUUCUGAUUGUGGUCAGUGAAGAAUAUUAAUAAAGCACAGGGCACACUGACUUGA
Long non-coding RNA from Mastomys coucha (southern multimammate mouse), 960 nucleotides. RefSeq lists it as uncharacterized. NCBI's taxonomy places the organism in Eukaryota, Metazoa, Chordata, Mammalia, Rodentia, Muridae. The transcript is spliced from 5 exons. The record is from RefSeq and is a predicted model, not a curated record.